RNAcentral lists this long non-coding RNA (923 nucleotides) under Gouania willdenowi (blunt-snouted clingfish). RNAcentral's name for it is "lncRNA (ENSGWIG00000014863.1)". The record is from RNAcentral. Lineage: Eukaryota; Metazoa; Chordata; Actinopteri; Blenniiformes; Gobiesocidae.
CUUCUCAUUUCCACAGAAAGACACUGAUCACAUGUUUAAUGUAUAAAUAGAAGUCACGUUUUACUAACACCUGUAAAAUGUUGGAGAGGAACGCCAACAUCCACUGAUGGAGGAGAAGAAAGAUGGAGGACGGGAGUGCCGGCAUCUACCAAUGGAGGAGAAGAAAUACUUUUAUUAACCAAAACAAUAAUCCGCUGAUGGAGAACAAGGAAGAUGGAAGAGUACCAUCAUCUACCAAUGGAGGAGGAGAAAAAUGGGGGAGCACCAGCAUCCAAAAGUGUCCCAUAAUCAGCCCCAGGAGGAGAUAUCAGCAGAGGAAAGAAAGACUAUUAAGCAAAACCUCUCAUUUACACAGAAAGACGCUGAUCACAUAUUUAAUGUAUAAAUAGAAGUCACGUUUUCCUAACACCUGUAAAAUGUUGGAGAGGAACGCCAACAUCCACUGAUGGAGGAGAAGAAAGAUGGAGGACGGGAGUGCCGGCAUCUACCAAUGGAGGAGAAGAAAUACUUUUAUUAACCAAAACAAUGUAAGUAAAACCUCUCGUUUACACAGAAAGACACUGGACACGUUUAUUGUAAAAAAUGACUUUCUAAUAAUGCUUGUAAAAUAUUGGACUUGAACACCAGAAUCCACUGAUGGAGAACAAGGAAGAUGGAAGAGUACCAUCAUCUACCAAUGGAGGAGGAGGAGGAGAAAAAUGGGGGAGCACCAGCAUCCAAAAGUGUCCCAUAAUCAGCCCCAGGAGGAGAUAUCAGCAGAGGAAAGAAAGACUAUUAACCAAAACAAUGUAAGUAAAACCUCUCAUUUACACAGAAAGACACUGAACUUGUUUUUAUUGUAAAAAUGUUGCCAUGGGUAAAAAAAAAAAAGAAAAGAGAAAUAGAUGUUUGUUUACAUUAAAACCUGUAAAUUGUCCACCACA